GACGAACGCUGGCGGCGUGCUUAACACAUGCAAGUCGAACGGAAAGGCCUCUUUCGGGGGGUACUCGAGUGGCGAACGGGUGAGUAACACGUGAGUAACCUGCCCUUGACUUUGGGAUAACUUCAGGAAACUGGGGCUAAUACCGGAUAGGAGCUCCUGCUGCAUGGUGGGGGUUGGAAAGUUUCGGCGGUUGGGGCUGGACUCGCGGCUUAUCAGCUUGUUGGUGGGGUAGUGGCUUACCAAGGCUUUGACGGGUAGCCGGCCUGAGAGGGUGACCGGCCACAUUGGGACUGGGAUACGGCCCAGACUCCUACGGGAGGCAGCGGUGGGGAAUAGUGCACAAUGGGUGGGAGCCUGAUGCAGCAACGCCGUGGGCGGGAUGACGGCCUUCGGGUUGGAAUCCGCUUUCGCUCAUGACGAAGCUUUGUGUGACGGUAGUGGGUAAAGAAGCCCCGGCUAACUACGUG
Molecule: ribosomal RNA, 467 nt
Filed under: uncultured bacterium
Lineage: Bacteria
Description: partial 16S ribosomal RNA
Rfam family: Bacterial small subunit ribosomal RNA
Source: RNAcentral